This 513-nucleotide ribosomal RNA is filed under the name uncultured bacterium. RNAcentral's name for it is "partial 16S ribosomal RNA". It matches the Rfam family "Bacterial small subunit ribosomal RNA", at positions 28 to 507 of the family's 1533-position model. The record is from RNAcentral.
GACGAACGCUGGCGGCGUGCUUAACACAUGCAAGUCGAACGAAAAGAGGGAAAGAGCUUGCUCUUUCCGGAAUUGAGUGGCAAACGGGUGAGUAACACGUAAACAACCUGCCUUCAGGAUGGGGUCAACAGACGGAAACGACUGCUAAUACCGAAUAAGUUCCAAGAGCCGCAUGGCCCAUGGAAGAAAAGGUGGCCUCUACCUGUAAGCUAUCGCCUGAAGAGGGGUUUGCGUCUGAUUAGCUGGUUGGAGGGGUAACGGCCCACCAAGGCGACGAUCAGUAGCCGGUCUGAGAGGAUGAACGGCCACACUGGAACUGAGACACGGUCCAGACUCCUACGGGAGGCAGCAGUGGGGAAUCUUCCGCAAUGGGCGAAAGCCUGACGGAGCAACGCCGCGUGAGUGAUGACGGCCUUCGGGUUGUAAAACUCUGUGAUCCGGGACGAAAAGGCAGAGUGCGAAGAACAAACUGCAUUGACGGUACCGGAAAAGCAAGCCACGGCUAACUACGUG